Molecule: ribosomal RNA, 186 nt
Filed under: uncultured Staphylococcus sp.
Lineage: Bacteria; Bacillati; Bacillota; Bacilli; Caryophanales; Staphylococcaceae
Description: partial 16S ribosomal RNA
Rfam family: Bacterial small subunit ribosomal RNA
Source: RNAcentral
ACCGGAGCUAAUACCGGAUAAUAUAUUGAACCGCAUGGUUCAAUAGUGAAAGACGGUUUUGCUGUCACUUUAUAGAUGGAUCCGCGCCGCAUUAGCUAGUUGGUAAGGUAACGGCUUACCGAAGGCAACGAUGCGUAGCCGACCUGAGAGGGUGAUCGGCCACACUGGAACUGAGACACGGUCCAG